This 1371-nucleotide ribosomal RNA is filed under the name uncultured bacterium. RNAcentral's name for it is "bacterial SSU rRNA". It matches the Rfam family "Bacterial small subunit ribosomal RNA", at positions 28 to 1381 of the family's 1533-position model. The record is from RNAcentral.
GAUGAACGCUGGCGGCGUGCCUAAUACAUGCAAGUCGAGCGAACGGACGAGAAGCUUGCUUCUCUGAUGUUAGCGGCGGACGGGUGAGUAACACGUGGAUAACCUACCUAUAAGACUGGGAUAACUUCGGGAAACCGGAGCUAAUACCGGAUAAUAUUUUGAACCGCAUGGUUCAAAAGUAAAGGACGGUCUUGCUGUCACUUAUAGAUGGAUCCGCGCUGCAUUAGCUAGUUGGUAAGGUAACGGCUUACCAAGGCAACGAUGCAUAGCCGACCUGAGAGGGUGAUCGGCCACACUGGAACUGAGACACGGUCCAGACUCCUACGGGAGGCAGCAGUAGGGAAUCUUCCGCAAUGGGCGAAAGCCUGACGGAGCAACGCCGCGUGAGUGAUGAAGGUCUUCGGAUCGUAAAACUCUGUUAUUAGGGAAGAACAUAUGUGUAAGUAACUGUGCACAUCUUGACGGUACCUAAUCAGAAAGCCACGGCUAACUACGUGCCAGCAGCCGCGGUAAUACGUAGGUGGCAAGCGUUAUCCGGAAUUAUUGGGCGUAAGCGCGCGUAGGCGGUUUUCUAAGUCUGAUGUGAAAGCCCACGGCUCAACCGUGGAGGGUCAUUGGAAACUGGAAAACUUGAGUGCAGAAGAGGAAAGUGGAAUUCCAUGUGUAGCGGUGAAAUGCGCAGAGAUAUGGAGGAACACCAGUGGCGAAGGCGACUUUCUGGUCUGUAACUGACGCUGAUGUGCGAAAGCGUGGGGAUCAAACAGGAUUAGAUACCCUGGUAGUCCACGCCGUAAACGAUGAGUGCUAAGUGUUAGGGGGUUUCCGCCCCUUAGUGCUGCAGCUAACGCAUUAAGCACUCCGCCUGGGGAGUACGACCGCAAGGUUGAAACUCAAAGGAAUUGACGGGGACCCGCACAAGCGGUGGAGCAUGUGGUUUAAUUCGAAGCAACGCGAAGAACCUUACCAAAUCUUGACAUCCUUUGACAACUCUAGAGAUAGAGCCUUCCCCUUCGGGGGACAAAGUGACAGGUGGUGCAUGGUUGUCGUCAGCUCGUGUCGUGAGAUGUUGGGUUAGGUCCCGCAACGAGCGCAACCCUUAAGCUUAGUUGCCAUCAUUAAGUUGGGCACUCUAAGUUGACUGCCGGUGACAAACCGGAGGAAGGUGGGGAUGACGUCAAAUCAUCAUGCCCCUUAUGAUUUGGGCUACACACGUGCUACAAUGGACAAUACAAAGGGCAGCGAAACCGCGAGGUCAAGCAAAUCCCAUAAAGUUGUUCUCAGUUCGGAUUGUAGUCUGCAACUCGACUACAUGAAGCUGGAAUCGCUAGUAAUCGUAGAUCAGCAUGCUACGGUGAAUACGUUCCCGGGUCU